UGAAAAUCUAAACACUAGAACGGAAUAUCCAAAUCCAAAGAAAUUUUUACCCACACAAAAGCUAUAGAAAAACUUGUUCAAAAUUCUGUUCGUCAUAUUCCUUGGUGUAACACUUAUUUUUAUGACUAUAUACGUGCUUUAUUUUUAUAUAAUAAAUCCAUCUUCUUAAUGUGAUGAAGUUCAGAUGGAAUGAUGUUCAAAAAGUUGCGCCAUGAUUUAUUUAAGGAGGAUCAAUGGCAUUCACCUAGUGGCAAGUAUUUUAUAGUGAUUAAACGUGAAAUGAGAUUGAACUACUUUUCAUGUUAUUCAGAACGUAUUCACUAAUUAUCUGAUUUAUUCGAUAUUUUUUUAAUAGAUUCUCCUAAUUUCUGUUCAAAUUACAAAUUUAAAACGGAUAUUCCACCUCUCAGCCACACUGGCGCCACGGGCUGACUGGGAAGCUACUGCGCACACAAGUAAAAGCUCGCAGCUAUAGCAAAAAAAGUAGCUACCAAAACUCCCCGCACACUGAUGGAGGGCGCACUGCACACGUAACUGAAAUUUGAACGAUUUUUGUGUCAUCUGCAUAGAAAAUACAAUUUUUAUGCUGGCAUGCAGCAUGACCACAUAAUAAAUUGUAGAUAUCUAUAAAGAUAGAACCUCCUUCGGGCAUUUCCGUACAAAAUUUAUGGAAGACACUUUGGAUAGCAAGUAGAUUGGAUGCAACUUUGUUGUAGAGCAAAACGCACAGAGAUCGGGUCGCUCAACUGCCAUAAACCCAUUCUCCACAGGCAGGGGCUGCGACUGAGCCUUGGUUGAUUGACUUCUCUUGAUAUUAAACCGACCAAAUUCCCGCCCCUCUGCUGGACAGUCGACCCCCCCUCACUUUUCUCAUGAAAAUUAUGCAAAUGGCAAAAAGUGUCAAACGCAUUGUGGUGGCUGGCUGAUGGCCCCCAUCAUGCAGGCCUGUCAAAUAAAUCAAAUUUGACUACAAUCCCAGCCCGGUUUUGCCAGCCAAUUCCAAGUUCAGUGGCGCUGGAGCCUGGAAAUGGGCGAUUAAUCAAGAGUUCAGCAAACGCUUUUCCGAAGAGUCACUGCCAAUGGAGAUGCAUAAUUUUUGCAUGUGGAAUUACAUGACACGUGAGCUGUAAGUACUGCCAUCAUUUAACCAAAUGAAGACUGCCACACAGACCUGCCACAGACGUUGCACAGACGACGACGAAGACGAUUGUCAGAGCAAUGAACUUGGACUUCUCUUGCAGAGAUCGGCUGGAGCACGCUUGACUGAGCGCAGACACAGCCAAGGGGCAAGGAGCUGCAGCAGUCAGAACAAACCAAAGAGGCAGCAAACAUGUUUGGUCUGGUGGGGUGGUGGCUGGCAGCCCCACAACUGAUUGCCACAUGUACGAGAAUGCGACUGUGUGUGCUGCCACAUGUGCUGCCUGGCUUGUCUCUGGUUCUGGUUGAUCUUGCCACAUGGCUACGUACGUACGUACAGCGGGGAGCAUAUUCGUUUCGCAAUUGAGUUCCUUCUGGCUUCCAACAGGUUUAACUCUUUGAUCUGCCCACCUUCCUUCUUCUCUCUCUCUCUCUCUCUCUUUCUGUGGCGACUUUUGAUCUUUCGCACAAGUCGGAGCAGGAAUUGGAGGAGGAGCUGCAGUGGAGGAGAACAUGCGCCCAUUAGACCCGGGCAGAGUCACUCAGGUGUGGCAUAAGCUACAGGAGAAGCUCCAGCACUGCAGGCAGGCACUGAGGAUGAAAUAGAGGAGCAGACACACAGUCCAGAGCCCAGAGCUGGAGCCUAGCCCAUAAUUAAUAUUGUUGUAAAUUUGAUUUAACACUUCAUGGCCGAAACCAGUUGGCCAAAGAAGUCAAGGAACUUCAUUUAGAUGCCACUCCGAAUGCCACUCUUGGGAAUGUCUUUUCCAGCAGCAAUUUAUUUGCCUUCCCCUUUAAAAUUCAUUAAUUAAUUUACACCACGCGCAAUUUGCAUUUAGUUUUUGCCAUUAAAU
RNAcentral lists this long non-coding RNA (1991 nucleotides) under Drosophila guanche. Lineage: Eukaryota; Metazoa; Arthropoda; Insecta; Diptera; Drosophilidae. The record is from RNAcentral.